This 292-nucleotide long non-coding RNA is filed under the name Capsella rubella. RNAcentral describes it as "long non-coding RNA (CRUB_LNC002123)". The record is from RNAcentral. Lineage: Eukaryota; Viridiplantae; Streptophyta; Magnoliopsida; Brassicales; Brassicaceae.
UUUCUUUAUCGUUUGUUCCUAAAAAUUUAAAUGUAAAAGCGGAUUAUUUGGUUCGACAAGCUCGGGCCAUUUUACAACUAGUCAAGUAUAUAAACAAUUGCCCGUCACAUUGGCUCAUUUGAGCUGAUCAUUCAUUUAUUUGAUGACAAAAAAAAAAGAUUAAAAUAUUAGUCAAAUAUAUAUGAUUAUUAAAUUAGGUAUUACUAUUAUUAUGGCUCAAUUUCAUUAAAAAAAAAACCCAACCGGUUAUAGUUAUUAAAUAUCGGGUUCAAAAUUAUACAUACUGUAUCGG